CUGGGUUUCGGACCUCGUGUCCACUCACCCGCCCUUUGUCAUACGUACCCACAUCAUUUCGGCCCCUGGCUACCGGACGCCCCCUCCGUUAACUCGGCGGGGUACCGUACGUCGGCCGCGGGUCGGCAUUGCAAACCCACGCGGAUUACUGAAGUCUGAUAUUAUUUUUUAAACGAAAUUA
Molecule: unclassified non-coding RNA, 181 nt
Filed under: uncultured Ascomycota
Lineage: Eukaryota; Fungi; Ascomycota
Description: sequence contains ITS1
Source: RNAcentral